This is an RNA transcript of Juglans microcarpa x Juglans regia, 1309 nucleotides long. RefSeq lists it as uncharacterized. The record is from RefSeq and is a predicted model, not a curated record. NCBI's taxonomy places the organism in Eukaryota, Viridiplantae, Streptophyta, Magnoliopsida, Fagales, Juglandaceae. The transcript is spliced from 2 exons.
AUGAAAACUUAAGUUGGCGCCUCCCCUCAAUUUUUCAUGAAAUUUGAACUUCCCGCUCACGGCUUGCAACCCUACAAAUUAUAGUAUUUCUUCCUCUUAUUCCCUCGUUUAUCAGCCAACAAGUUUACACAUGUGAGACGCCGACUAGAUCGAACCAGCAACCACGUCCUGCAUAUAUAAGUCGAUGCACCUGCAGUUGUUCUGCAAACCUCUGUUUUAAGCAAGACGAACAGAGCAAUAUUGUUCUCCAAAUUAACCGAGCCACCGAGGGCCAUGUCUUGCUGCAGUUGGGCCACGAAACCACCGCAAGCAGCAACAGAAGACGCCGGAAAACAAGCCUCCACCGCCCAGUUGAUGUUCAGCACCACUGUCCGCAACUCCCACGCCAUUUUACGCUACAGUACUGCCGCCUCCCAGCCACCUUGCGCCGCCGCUUCGUAGCUGCUCUCAUGCAUGGAGAGUCUCCGUCGCACAUGAGCCUCUGUUUGGUUCUUCUCUCAUGGACUUAACGCCUCUCUCAUUUUUCAUCUGUCUAUGCUCUUCAUCAAUCUUUGCUUCUUCAUGUUCAUGCAUGCUUGUUUGUUGAUGUAGUUUGUUGAACUUUUUGGGGGACUGCAUGCAUUGGAGGAUCAAAAAUCCUGAUCUCAAAUUUAUUGCUUAUUUCAAGAUAUGAGUACUUCUUCAAUGAUAUUCAUAUUUCUUCUUAUAUUAUUUUAUAUAACUUGCCACCCCAUACGGCAUAAACGUUGACAUGAAGAAAUGCAGAAAGUCAUGGGGAUUAACAUUUCUCUCUGUCCCUAUGAUAAUUAUUUUUUUGUUUUUAGAGCGUAUCAUGCCUUACAAUAUUUUCGACAAAAAGAAUUGGCCGGUUGGUUGGAUCUAAUUAAUACAGUGAAUUAAUUAUAGCAAAUAUAUGUAUGUUUGGAAAAGGGAAAUAAAAAGAUCAUUGCUUCUUAUUUUGUUAAUUUUUUUCCACUUUCCAUCUAUUAUCUGACAAUUUCUGAUGUCUCUCGCUCAUCCAUAGGGAAGUUAUGGUACUAGAAGCACUUCUGCAAUAUUGUUUGUGAAAGGAAGAGAUGAAGUAGACUUUUACAAGAGGCAUCUGGGGAAUGAACUCGUGGAAAGCCGUGCAACUUCUGUUUGGCUAAUCUCAUAUAUAUAUGUAACAAAGUUUCAAAAUGAUUUGUGAGUUAAAAUGCUCGGGGUUUCAUCACAUGUAAUGAUUUUAUAUAUAGUUGUUAUUAAAUGACUUUCAUGUGAUUUGAUUUGUAACUUUUUUAUAUUAUAUGAAUAAUGAUCCAUUAUAUCA